Molecule: ribosomal RNA, 254 nt
Filed under: uncultured bacterium
Lineage: Bacteria
Description: partial 16S ribosomal RNA
Rfam family: Bacterial small subunit ribosomal RNA
Source: RNAcentral
UACGAAGGGGGCUAGCGUUGCUCGGAAUCACUGGGCGUAAAGCGCACGUAGGCGGAUCUUUAAGUCAGGGGUGAAAUCCCAAGGCUCAACCUUGGAACUGCCUUUGAUACUGGGGAUCUCGAGUCCGGAAGAGGUUGGUGGAACUGCGAGUGUAGAGGUGAAAUUCGUAGAUAUUCGCAAGAACACCAGUGGCGAAGGCGGCCAACUGGUCCGGUACUGACGCUGAGGUGCGAAAGCGUGGGGGAGCAAACAGG